Molecule: ribosomal RNA, 402 nt
Filed under: uncultured Campylobacterota bacterium
Lineage: Bacteria; Pseudomonadati; Campylobacterota
Description: bacterial SSU rRNA
Rfam family: Bacterial small subunit ribosomal RNA
Source: RNAcentral
UGAGGAAUAUUGCACAAUGGGGGAAACCCUGAUGCAGCAACGCCGCGUGGAGGAUGACGCAUUUCGGUGUGUAAACUCCUUUUAUAUGUCAAGAAAAUGACGGUAGCAUAUGAAUAAGCACCGGCUAACUCCGUGCCAGCAGCCGCGGUAAUACGGAGGGUGCAAGCGUUAUUCGGAAUCACUGGGCGUAAAGGACACGUAGGCGGGUUGGAAAGUCAGAUGUGAAAUCCUACAGCUUAACUGUAGAACUGCAUUUGAAACUUCUAACCUAGAGUAUGGGAGGGGGAGAUGGAAUUAGUGGUGUAGGGGUAAAAUCCGUAGAUAUCACUAGGAAUACCUAAAGCGAAGGCGAUCUCCUGGAACAUAACUGACGCUAAGGUGUGAAAGCGUGGGGAGCAAACG